UGAAUACGAGACGCUAAGGCGUUGAAGUAGUGUAUGUCAUACUUCCAAGAAAAGCUUGCACUGUCAUAGAUAAAAAACGCCUGUACCAUAACCGACACAGGUGGGUAGGUAGAGUAUACUAAGGGGCGCGAGAUAACUCUCUCUAAGGAACUCGGCAAAAUAACUCCGUAACUUCGGGAGAAGGAGUGCCUUAUUUAUAAGGCUGCAAUAACAAGAUCCAAGCAACUGUUUAUCAAAAACACAGGUCUCCGCUAAGUCGUAAGACGAUGUAUGGGGGCUGACGCCUGCCCAGUGCCAGAAGGUUAAAGAAGUUGGUUAGCAAUAGCGAAGCUGAUAACUGAAGCCCUGGUGAACGGCGGCCGUAACAAUAACGGUCCUAAGGUAGCGAAAUUCCUUGUCGGGUAAGUUCCGACCCGCACGAAAGGCGUAAUGAUUUGGAUACUGUCUCGGAGAGGGGCUCGGUGAAAUAGACUUGUCUGUGAAGAUGCGGACUACCUGCACCAGGACAGAAAGACCCUAUGAAGCUUUACUGUAACUUGAAAUUGAAAUUGGACUUUAUUCGCGCAGUAUAGGUGGGAGGCGUUGAUUGUAAUCUUGCGGGAUUAUUGGAGCCAUCAGUGAGAUGCCACCCUUGUAAUGUUAGAUUUCUAACUUUGAAUCAUUAUCUGGUCAAAGAACAGUUUCAGGCGGGCAGUUUGACUGGGGCGGUCGCCUCCUAAACGGUAACGGAGGCGUACAAAGGUUUCCUCUGAACGGUUAGAAAUCGUAUCUAGAGUGUAAAGGCAUAAGGAAGCUUGACUGUGAGACCUACAAGUCGAGCAGGGACGAAAGUCGGUCUUAGUGAUCUGACGGUACUGAGUGGAAAGGCCGUCACUCAACGGAUAAAAGUUACUCUAGGAUAACAGGCUGAUCUCCCCCAAGAGUUCACAUCGACGGGGAGGUUUGGCACCUCGAUGUCGGCUCAUCGCAUCCUGGGGCGGUAGUACGUCCCAAGGGUUGGGCUGUUCGCCCAUGAAAGCGGUACGCGAGCUGGGUUCAGAACGUCGUGGGACAGUUCGGUCCAUAUCCGGUGUAGGCGUUAGAAUAUUGAGAGGAGCCUUCUUUAGUACGAGAGGACCGAGAAGGACAUACCUCUGGUGUACCAGUUAUCGUGCCAACGGUAAACGCUGGGUAGCUGUGUAUGGAGUGGAUAACCGCUGAAAGCAUCUAAGUGGGAAGCCCACCUCAAGAUAAG
RNAcentral lists this ribosomal RNA (1234 nucleotides) under metagenome. RNAcentral describes it as "bacterial LSU rRNA". It matches the Rfam family "Bacterial large subunit ribosomal RNA", at positions 1564 to 2808 of the family's 2925-position model. The record is from RNAcentral.